Molecule: transfer RNA, 73 nt
Filed under: Trichonephila inaurata madagascariensis
Lineage: Eukaryota; Metazoa; Arthropoda; Arachnida; Araneae; Nephilidae
Rfam family: tRNA
About the family: Transfer RNA (tRNA) molecules are approximately 80 nucleotides in length. Their secondary structure includes four short double-helical elements and three loops (D, anti-codon, and T loops).
Source: Rfam by way of RNAcentral
GGGGGCGUGGCUCAGAUUGUAGUGCGUUCGCUUAGCAUGCGAGAGGUACGGGGAUCGAUACCCCGCGCUUCCA